Molecule: ribosomal RNA, 776 nt
Filed under: uncultured Acidobacteriota bacterium
Lineage: Bacteria; Pseudomonadati; Acidobacteriota
Description: bacterial SSU rRNA
Rfam family: Bacterial small subunit ribosomal RNA
Source: RNAcentral
AGAGUUUGAUCCUGGCUCAGAAUCAACGCUGGCGGCGUGCCUCAGACAUGCAAGUCGAACGAUUAAACUCGUCUUCGGACGAGAUAUAAAGUGGCGCACGGGUGAGUAACACGUAGGUAAUCUACCUUUGAGUGGGGAAUAACUUAGGGAAACUUAAGCUAAUACCGCAUAAUGCAGCGGCACCUUCGGGUGACAGUUGUUAAAGGAGCAAUCCGCUUAAAGAGGAGCCUGCGGCAGAUUAGCUAGUUGGUAAGGUAAUGGCUUACCAAGGCUACGAUCUGUAACCGACCUGAGAGGGUGGUCGGUCACACUGACACUGAAUAACGGGUCAGACUCCUACGGGAGGCAGCAGUCGGGAAUUUUGGGCAAUGGGCGAAAGCCUGACCCAGCAACGCCGCGUGAAGGAUGAAGUAUUUCGGUAUGUAAACUUCGAAAGAAUGGGAAGAAUAAAUGACGGUACCAUUUAUAAGGUCCGGCUAACUACGUGCCAGCAGCCGCGGUAAUACGUAGGGACCAAGCGUUGUUCGGAUUUACUGGGCGUAAAGGGCGCGUAGGCGGCGUGUUAAGUCAGCUGUGAAAUCUCCGAGCUUAACUCGGAACGGUCAGCUGAUACUGAUGUGCUAGAGUGCAGAAGGGGCAAUCGGAAUUCUUGGUGUAGCGGUGAAAUGCGUAGAUAUCAAGAGGAACACCUGAGGUGAAGACGGGUUGCUGGGCUGACACUGACGCUGAGGCGCGAAAGCUAGGGUAGCAAACGGGAUUAGAUACCCCCGUAGUCC